UAACUGCAGUCGAACGGACUUCUCAUGAAGCUUGCGAUUGAGAAGUUAGUGGCGGACGGGUGAGUAACGCGUGGGCAACCUGCCCCUGAGCCCGGGAUAACAGUUCGAAAGGACUGCUAAGACCGGAUAUUCUUGCGGAGAGGCAUUUUUCUGCAAGGAAAGGAAACGCUCAAGGAUGGGCCCGCGUCCCAUUAGCUAGUUGGUGAGGUAACGGCCCACCAAGGCGACGAUGGGUAGCCGGCCUGAGAGGGUGAACGGCCACACUGGGACUGAGACACGGCCCAGACUCCUACGGGAGGCAGCAGUUGGGAAUCUUCGGCAAUGGGCGCAAGCCUGACCGAGCAACGCCGCGUGAGUGAUGAAGGUUUUCGGAUUGUAAAGCUCUGUCUUCCGGGACGAUAAUGACGGUACCGGAGGAGGAAGCCACGGCUAACUACGUGCCAGCAGCCGCGGUAAUACGUAGGUGGCGAGCGUUGUCCGGAAUUACUGGGCGUAAAGGGCGCGUAGGCGGCCUGUCAAGUCAGAUGUGAAAUCCCCGGGCUUAACCCGGGAACUGCAUCUGAAACUGACGGGCUUGAGGGCAGGAGAGGAAAGCGGAACUCCCAGUGUAGCGGUGAAAUGCGUAGAUAUUGGGAGGAACACCAGUGGCGAAGGCGGCUUUCUGGACUGUAACUGACGCUGAGGCGCGAAAGCCAGGGGAGCGAACGGGAUUAGAUACCCCGGUAGUCCUGGCUGUA
This 737-nucleotide ribosomal RNA is filed under the name uncultured bacterium. Its description in RNAcentral is "bacterial SSU rRNA". It matches the Rfam family "Bacterial small subunit ribosomal RNA", at positions 51 to 804 of the family's 1533-position model. The record is from RNAcentral.